Molecule: unclassified non-coding RNA, 253 nt
Filed under: uncultured Acidobacteriota bacterium
Lineage: Bacteria; Pseudomonadati; Acidobacteriota
Description: uncultured Acidobacteria bacterium contains 16S-23S intergenic spacer region
Rfam family: Bacterial small subunit ribosomal RNA
Source: RNAcentral
GACGGGGGGGGCAAGCGUUGUUCGGAAUUACUGGGCGUAAAGGGCGCGCAGGCGGCCUGGGAAGUCUUUGGUGAAAGCCCCCAGCUUAACUGGGGAAGUGCCUGAGAAACCACUAGGCUUGAGUGCUGGAGAGGGAAGUGGAAUUCCCGGUGGAGCGGUGAAAUGCGUAGAUAUCGGGAGGAACACCAGAGGCGAAGGCGACUUCCUGGACAGACACUGACGCUGAGGCGCGAAAGCUAGGGGAGCAAACGGG